RNAcentral lists this ribosomal RNA (772 nucleotides) under Dietzia sp. Z306. RNAcentral describes it as "bacterial SSU rRNA". It matches the Rfam family "Bacterial small subunit ribosomal RNA", at positions 73 to 860 of the family's 1533-position model. Lineage: Bacteria; Bacillati; Actinomycetota; Actinomycetes; Mycobacteriales; Dietziaceae. The record is from RNAcentral.
GGCCCCUUCGGGGGUACACGAGUGGCGAACGGGUGAGUAACACGUGGGUAAUCUGCCCUGCACUUCGGGAUAAGCCUGGGAAACCGGGUCUAAUACCGGAUAUGAGCUCCUGCCGCAUGGUGGGGGUUGGAAAGUUUUUCGGUGCAGGAUGAGUCCGCGGCCUAUCAGCUUGUUGGUGGGGUAAUGGCCUACCAAGGCGACGACGGGUAGCCGGCCUGAGAGGGUGAUCGGCCACACUGGGACUGAGACACGGCCCAGACUCCUACGGGAGGCAGCAGUGGGGAAUAUUGCACAAUGGGCGGAAGCCUGAUGCAGCGACGCCGCGUGGGGGAUGACGGUCUUCGGAUUGUAAACUCCUUUCAGUAGGGACGAAGCGAGAGUGACGGUACCUGCAGAAGAAGCACCGGCCAACUACGUGCCAGCAGCCGCGGUAAUACGUAGGGUGCAAGCGUUGUCCGGAAUUACUGGGCGUAAAGAGCUCGUAGGCGGUUUGUCACGUCGUCUGUGAAAUCCUCCAGCUCAACUGGGGGCGUGCAGGCGAUACGGGCAGACUUGAGUACUACAGGGGAGACUGGAAUUCCUGGUGUAGCGGUGAAAUGCGCAGAUAUCAGGAGGAACACCGGUGGCGAAGGCGGGUCUCUGGGUAGUAACUGACGCUGAGGAGCGAAAGCAUGGGGAGCAAACAGGAUUAGAUACCCUGGUAGUCCAUGCCGUAAACGGUGGGCGCUAGGUGUGGGGUCCUUCCACGGAUUCCGUGCCGUAGCUAACGCAU